UCUCUUCCUCUCUUCUCCAAAAUCUGCCGCACCUCCCAAUCUCUCUUCUCGAUUUUCUUCUCCGGCCAGCGCAGUCGGCGAACCACUGGAGGUAGCCGCCUCUCUCUCCAGUCGUCUUUCCCCUUCGCCUUCUCUUCUUCCCCCCGUCUCCUCUUUCUCCUCGUCUGUCCAGCGGCCAGCGAGGACGAGCAGCCAGCAGCCGCCUGGACAACAACAACAAAGACAUUGUUGUUCAGGCCAGUGACCGGCUAACAUCGGCGCCUCCAGCCGGCGAAGCCCCUUCGCCUCUUCUCUUCUCUUUCCGGCGAGGAUGAGCGACAACAACGAGGCAGCAGUAGCCGCCGGCAAACGACACCAACAGUGCUCCGAUAAACAGCCGGUGGGAACCAGCCGAUUAGCGAAACUCUUUGUCCCUCUCCUCCCUUUCUUGGGGAAGUCCGGCAACUGGUGAAGCCACCAGCGAAAGAGCAGUAGCAGCCGGCGACAACCAGCAGCUCUGGACUAGCGAAAAAAGCUCCUGGCAGUGGCUACGAAAUCAACAACAACGAUAAGAUGCUCACUACAAGGUUCCGACCAAGGACCAAAAUGGAAAAAAAGUGACCGGGUGUGUAACAUUGAGUUCUAGUUUGAAGAGUUGCCAGGGAUGGAAUUCCGGACGGGAUUUAGUUCUAUUUACAUUCGUAUUUGUCAUAUUUGUAUAAUUUUUAUUCAGUCAUGUAAUAGUUGUAUUAGCUCUUCUAACUCUCCAUAGAUAUAUAUGAAAUAUUUGUGGGAUCCUCUAAGGGGGAGAGGUUAUAUGUGCUAA
This is a long non-coding RNA of Solanum tuberosum (potato), 805 nucleotides long. RefSeq lists it as uncharacterized. NCBI's taxonomy places the organism in Eukaryota, Viridiplantae, Streptophyta, Magnoliopsida, Solanales, Solanaceae. The transcript is spliced from 2 exons. The record is from RefSeq and is a predicted model, not a curated record.